GCCUACGUAGGAUUUAUAUAGGCAGAUGGCCCCCAAUUUUUGAAAAAUAAUAAGAUCGAUGACAGUGUUGAAAAUCGACAGUUUUCACUAAAAUAAACUUUCAACUACCGAACUGUGUCGUUUUUAAUAAUAACACAUUCUCAGUAUUGAUGUAAAAUGGAUUUAAAAUACGACCGGUACAGGCAUUUUGCGUUAAAAUUGCUGAAUUCGGCCAUUUCAGACUCAAAAUUCGCUUAUUAGCAACCCUUGCUUCAAGUAACAAUUUAUAACAGCUAUUUCAUUUGUUAAUUCUAUUUAAUAUUUUCCUAACCAGAAACUGAAGCAAGGGUUGCUAAUAAAUGAAUUUUGGAAAAAAUGAUAUUAUUUGUCUGGCCUUUCUCACGUAUAAGAGUGGCCUCCCUUGAAGCCAGGUGCUCGUUGCCAGGCAAUAUUAUAGGUGGCACCGCUGUCAACACGUGCAUGUGAAAACGAAAGUAGAUUGUUUAUCUAGGAAUUAUUACAACAUUUUACCCUUCUACGUUGAAUUUUUAAGAUAUAAAAGUAUGAAUAUUGAGAUGAUUAUUUAGCUACCUUCAACUGGUCAGUGGCCAAAAGGGAGUAUUUCUGUGUGUCUUGAAGCAUUGAAUGCCCCAAAACAACCAGUAUGAUAAGAAGGUAUACUAUCUAGGUUGAAAACAGCCACAGACAAUGAAUUUGGAGGUGCAUGCUAGAGCAUCAGAAAUUACAUACUUUGAAUAAAUAAUUGCACAAUACACAUUUACUGAGAAGUGACUAAUGUUUAUGUUAAAGUGCAAUAUCCAUAUUUGUAACAUUUACUUGUGGGUAAUAGUUACAGUGUUGAAAGAGACUACCAGUGUUACAUUUCAAUCUAAGUUACAGUGUGGAUGCUAAUUCUAAAUUCUUGAUAAUCAAGUGUUUUUAAUAACUUAUGAAUACUAAUUAUUUAUCAAACUGUUAAAUUUAUCACAUUCCUACAUCAUUAUUUUAUAUAAAAUGCUUGUAGUUAUAUAAUAUAUGCCAGGUUAAAUGGUAAUAAAUUUUGUUUCUUUGUAAA
Mercenaria mercenaria is the source of this 1054-nucleotide long non-coding RNA. RefSeq lists it as uncharacterized. The record is from RefSeq and is a predicted model, not a curated record. The transcript has 4 exons. NCBI's taxonomy places the organism in Eukaryota, Metazoa, Mollusca, Bivalvia, Venerida, Veneridae.